AUAUUGACUUUCAUUUUUUUUGUCACUAAAUUAAAAUUAUAUUCAUUAACUUGAUGUGGAACCAAGGAAGUACACAAUACCCAAACAAGGGAAACCAAAGCCGACAGAUGAAGUUAAAGUCCUCAGAGUCAAAGCCGGAGGAAAAAGAAAAUAUCCCCGGAAAGAAAGCCCUAAAGAAAGGGAAACAAAGACCCUAAAACCACAAAGCAGCAAACCAGAGACCCUAAACGAAAGAUGAUGUACCCAAAUACAAUAGCCGAAGCAACAAAGCUAAAAUCCUAAAAAACAAUAGUCACAAGCGGCAAAGAAAAACUCCUCCUCAAAAGCACCUGCGAAGAGAUUUACUACGGCUGCCCACAGCCAACCCGAAAUAACAUCUGCCACCUCCUAUCAUGAAGAGAGCCAAUCUCUCGAAACCAGAAGCAAGAACUUCAUAACCCGGCAAGCCAAACCACAAGAAGAAACUUGAAAACGCUUCCGGAUGCGACGACGACGACUGAGGCGACCAAUUGCGUCUAGAUAGAAGCCUUCAAAAAGCUAACAGAAAAGAUCUGAAGCAAGUACAAGGAGUGAAGCCUAACCUCUCGAGAACCUUCAUCGAGAACAAGCACGACGAAAGAAGGAGGAAGCUAUCAAACACAGAAACCAACACCAAGGAGGAGAACCAACUGCCAACAAAGAAGACUACCACAACAGAAACAGAAAGAAAAGGGACAUCCAGUUGGGAACCAAUGGCUGAAGCAAGGAGACCAAGAGGCGGAAGGAAAGGCAUGGUCUGGGCACAAACUCAACGAGAACCCACCACCACACAAACAAUGGCAUAGAAACAAAGCUAACCACUUGAACGGCUACAAGAUCACCUGAUCUGUCCGCUCCAACCGAAUCCAUAAUCUCAAAGUUCGGUUGACUUUCUAUUAAUCCUCAAUAAUAUUGACUUUCUAUUUUCCUUUAUUUUUUUACAUCUAUUUUGUUUCAUUU
This 978-nucleotide small RNA is filed under the name Arabidopsis thaliana (thale cress). RNAcentral's name for it is "ATSL147620". The record is from RNAcentral. Lineage: Eukaryota; Viridiplantae; Streptophyta; Magnoliopsida; Brassicales; Brassicaceae.